This 924-nucleotide small RNA is filed under the name Pongo abelii (Sumatran orangutan). Its description in RNAcentral is "retained intron". Lineage: Eukaryota; Metazoa; Chordata; Mammalia; Primates; Hominidae. The record is from RNAcentral.
GCCCGGGAACACUCACGGCUCCUUCCUCAUCCGGGAGAGCGAGAGCACCGCGGGAUCGUUUUCACUGUCGGUCCGGGACUUCGACCAGAACCAGGGAGAGGUGGUGAAACAUUACAAGAUCCGUAAUCUGGACAACGGUGGCUUCUACAUCUCCCCCCGAAUCACUUUUUCCGGCCUGCAUGAACUGGUCCGCCAUUACACCAAUGCUUCAGAUGGGCUCUGUACACGGUUGAGCCGCCCCUGCCAGACCCAGAAGCCCCAGAAGCCGUGGUGGGAGGACGAGUGGGAGGUUCCCAGGGAGACGCUGAAGCUGGUGGAGCGGCUGGGGGCUGGACAGUUCGGGGAGGUGUGGAUGGGGUACUACAACGGGCACACGAAGGUGGCGGUGAAGAGCCUGAAGCAGGGCAGCAUGUCCCCGGACGCCUUCCUGGCCGAGGCCAACCUCAUGAAGCAGCUGCAACACCAGCGGCUGGUUCGGCUCUACGCUGUGGUCACCCAGGAGCCCAUCUACAUCAUCACUGAAUACAUGGAGAACGGUGGGUGCUGCCCGAGUCGGCUGCCAGGGAAUACUGCUCUCCCCGCUGUCGCUGCUGGAGGGUGGAAAUACACCUUUUCUUCUGGCCCAAAGCUCAAGCAAGGAGGGUUUCUUGAGCUUUCCUAGCCCCUGAAGACUCACCUCCAGCCGGGCGCGGUGGCUCAGGCCUGUAAUCCCAGCACUUUGGGAGGCCGAGGCGGGCAGAUCACGAGAUCAGGAGUUCAAGACCAGCCUGACCAAUAUGGUGAAACCCCGUCUCUACUAAAAACACAAAAAUUAGCCAGGGGUGGUGGCGCAUGCCUGUAAUCCCAGGUACUCAGAAGACUGAGGCAGGAGAAUCCCUUUAAUCCUGGAGGUGGAGGUUACAGUUGCAGUGAGCUGAGAUCAUG